GUGAGUAGUUCAGAGUUUGAUCCUGGCUCAGGACGAACGCUGGCGGCGUGCCUAACACAUGCAAGUCGAACGGACGAGGGGAGCUUGCUCCCUGAGUUAGUGGCGAACGGGUGAGUAACGCGUGAGAAACCUGCCUUUCAGUGGGGGACAACAGUUGGAAACGGCUGCUAAUACCGCAUAAUGUGCCGGGAGGGCAUCCUCCUGGUACCAAAGCUUUAUGUGCUGAAAGAUGGUCUCGCGUCUGAUUAGCUAGUUGGUGGGGUAACGGCCCACCAAGGCGACGAUCAGUAGCCGGUCUGAGAGGAUGAACGGCCACAUUGGGACUGAGAUACGGCCCAG
This 339-nucleotide ribosomal RNA is filed under the name uncultured bacterium. Its description in RNAcentral is "bacterial SSU rRNA". It matches the Rfam family "Bacterial small subunit ribosomal RNA", at positions 1 to 334 of the family's 1533-position model. The record is from RNAcentral.